GAAUUAUUUCGAUUCUAAUAGGACAAAUACGGUCAUUAAAAAACUGAAGCGAUGGUAGGUAUGCUGUGUGUGUGGCUGUUCUUUUUUUUACUCCCGGUUCGAUAAAGCUCAAAUAUUCAUAAAAUCUGUAGCUUGCAUGGAUUGUUUAGUGAAUAACCGCUAGAAAAAAAAAUCUGUUUAAUUCUUUAAAUUCACAAACCCAAC
Molecule: long non-coding RNA, 204 nt
Filed under: Mytilus galloprovincialis (Mediterranean mussel)
Lineage: Eukaryota; Metazoa; Mollusca; Bivalvia; Mytilida; Mytilidae
Source: RNAcentral